RNAcentral lists this ribosomal RNA (1514 nucleotides) under Triticum aestivum (bread wheat). RNAcentral's name for it is "partial small subunit ribosomal RNA". The record is from RNAcentral. Lineage: Eukaryota; Viridiplantae; Streptophyta; Magnoliopsida; Poales; Poaceae.
GUCGGCUUGAGCCCCACCAGUUCUUCCCCAAAUCUUGCAAAACCUAACCCUCAACCCCGACCACGCCGCCGCCGCCACCACCAACCACUCUACCGCAGCGCCGGCUUCCUCCCCAAACACAGUCGCCGCCGACCGCCUAGUCGUCGCCGAGCACCCUUCGCCGCUUCGUCCCCAUCCCCCGCGCACCCAGCGCCUGCUUCCUCCCGAGGAAUGCCGCCGACCGCCCUCCAUCCCCACCACAACAGCGACCUCCUCCACAGGUUUCCUCCGCCGAGCAGGCCUCCUCCUCCUCAAGCUUUCUCCCCCGAGCAGGGCCUCCUCCUCCACGAGCAUCCUUCCCCGAGCACUAAGUUGGGCUGCCUCCUGGUUCCCUCACCCGAGCAGCGGACCUUCCUGUACGGCCCCUCUCCCGAGAAGCUCCACCUCCUCUACAUCCUCCCCAAGCUGAGAAUGACUUAUAAGUUCAUGGCAAAAGCAGCAACAUGAGUACGCAACCACAAGCAAGCUGAGGGGGUAAUAAUCUUGGUAGUCAAGUCUUAGAUUCAGUAUUUUGCUUUUUGGAUACAUGAACAUUGAAACUUAUUUAGCAUUUCAUUUCUUAUAUGCUUCAUGCAAAUAAAACUGCAGUAAACAUAUGAGCCGAGAUUUUGCUCGGCAUGUGUAUGUAUGCAUGCCCUAAAUUUGCUUAGCAUUUUUAUGCAUACAACUAUUGGAAGCUUUUACAUGUCCUGGAACUGACCUUUUGCAUGCCAUGUGUUUUCUGAAGCUGAGUCUUUUGUUAUUGGCUAGUACUUGAAACAGAGUCGCAGGCCUCCUGCCAUAUAACCAUUUAUGAAGUGCAUACGUGAUGCCUUAUCUUGUAUUCCUACACAUAGUCCAGUAUUUUUUUUCAUGUGUAAAAAGUGGUUGAUCUGGCAUUACACUGUUAAGUAUUUUGUACACAUCAGGAAUCUUGUUGUAGAUACACACUGAGCUGAAAAUGUUGCUAGCAGAAAUAGGUUUUCUGUUAGCUACGCAUCUGGUUUAAAACAUGGUAUGACUACUUGCUUUGGAAUAGUAACGCCUUGAUAUUAUCUUAUCCUAUCUCAUGUAUAUUUUAGUUAUUUCUAGACAAAGCUUUAGGAACCGAGUUCACUACAACUCGAAGUCUUGUGCAUGGAGGAGAAUUUAGAUAUUUGCGCAUUCUGUACUAGUCAAAAGGUUGGCAUCACGGUUGGAAGAUCUCUGUGCUACUCUCUACACGAUGUUUCUUCUACAUGAUAGCACUUGACGUCUACAUGAUAGCACUUGAAGUCUACAUGAUGUUUCUUGUAUUCAUAGUUCAAACCAUUUGUUUAGCUUAGUUUGAACAAAAACUAUUAUUGUCUUGCAUGUAAAUAAUGUUUACUAAUGUAGCUGGAUGCUACUGAAUGCAUGUACGAAAGUCAAAAUACUAAAGUGUUAGUCAUUAAGUGUUUGAGAACUGCUGUUGAAUCUUGAGUGAAUUCCUGUAUGAAUAGAAAUCAAAAGAAAUA